AGGGCGACCGGCCACACUGGGACUGAGACACGGCCCAAACUCCUACGGGAGGCAGCAGUGGGGAAUAUUGCACAAUGGGCGCAAGCCUGAUGCAGCGACGCCGCGUGAGGGAUGACGGCCUUCGGGUUGUAAACCUCUUUCAGCAGGGAAGAAGCGAAAGUGACGGUACCUGCAGAAGAAGCGCCGGCUAACUACGUGCCAGCAGCCGCGGUAAUACGUAGGGCGCGAGCGUUGUCCGGAAUUAUUGGGCGUAAAGAGCUCGUAGGCGGCUUGUCGCGUCGGUUGUGAAAGCCCGGGGCUUAACCCCGGGUCUGCAUUCGAUACGGGCAGGCUAGAGUUCGGUAGGGGAGAUCGGAAUUCCUGGUGUAGCGGUGAAAUGCGCAGAUAUCAGGAGGAACACCGCUGGCGAAGGCGGAUCUCUGGGCCGAUACUGACGCUGAUGAUCGAAAGCGUGGGGAGCGAACAGGAUUAGAUACCCUGGUAGUCCACGCCGUAAACGGUGGGCACUAGGUGUGGGCGACAUUCCACGUCGUCCGUGCCGCAGCUAACGCAUUAAGUGCCCCGCCUGGGGAGUACGGCCGCAAGGCUAAAACUCAAAGGAAUUUGACGGGGGCCCGCACAAGCGGCGGAGCAUGUGGCUUAAUUCGACGCACGCGAAAAACCUUACCAGGUUUGACAUACACCGGAAAACCCUGGAGACAGGGUCCCCCUGUGUCCGUGUACUGUGGUGCA
Molecule: ribosomal RNA, 732 nt
Rfam family: Bacterial small subunit ribosomal RNA